Molecule: ribosomal RNA, 500 nt
Filed under: uncultured bacterium
Lineage: Bacteria
Description: partial 16S ribosomal RNA
Rfam family: Bacterial small subunit ribosomal RNA
Source: RNAcentral
AUUGAACGCUGGCGGAAUGCUUUACACAUGCAAGUCGAACGGCAGCACGGACUUCGGUCUGGUGGCGAGUGGCGAACGGGUGAGUAAUGUAUCGGAACGUGCCCAGUCGUGGGGGAUAACGUAGUGAAAAUUACGCUAAUACCGCAUACGAUCUAUGGAUGAAAGCGGGGGAUCGCAAGACCUCGCGCGAUUGGAGCGGCCGAUAUCAGAUUAGGUAGUUGGUGGGGUAAAGGCCCACCAAGCCAACGAUCUGUAGCCGGUCUGAGAGGACGACCAGCCACACUGGAGCUGAGACAGGGUCCAGACUCCUACGGGAGGCAGCAGUGGGGAAUUUUGGACAAUGGGCGAAAGCCUGAUCCAGCCAUUCCGCGUGCAGGAUGAAGGCCCUCGGGUUGUAAACUGCUUUUGUACAGAACGAAAAGGUUUCUACUAAUACUAGGAGCUCAUGACGGUACUGUAAGAAUAAGCACCGGCUAACUACGUGCCAGCCGCCGCAGUAA